Molecule: ribosomal RNA, 478 nt
Filed under: Segatella salivae
Lineage: Bacteria; Pseudomonadati; Bacteroidota; Bacteroidia; Bacteroidales; Prevotellaceae
Description: bacterial SSU rRNA
Rfam family: Bacterial small subunit ribosomal RNA
Source: RNAcentral
GAUGAACGCUAGCUACAGGCUUAACACAUGCAAGUCGAGGGGAAACGACAUUGAAGCUUGCUUCGAUGGGCGUCGACCGGCGCACGGGUGAGUAACGCGUAUCCAACCUGCCUCUGACUAAGGGAUAACCCGGCGAAAGUCGGACUAAUACCUUAUGAGGUUUUCUGCAGACAUCUAACGAAAACGAAAGAUUUAUCGGUCAGCGAUGGGGAUGCGUCUGAUUAGCUUGUUGGCGGGGUAACGGCCCACCAAGGCGACGAUCAGUAGGGGUUCUGAGAGGAAGGUCCCCCACAUUGGAACUGAGACACGGUCCAAACUCCUACGGGAGGCAGCAGUGAGGAAUAUUGGUCAAUGGGCGAGAGCCUGAACCAGCCAAGUAGCGUGCAGGAUGACGGCCCUAUGGGUUGUAAACUGCUUUUAUGUGGGGAUAAAGUGAGCUACGUGUAGUUUAUUGCAGUACCACAUGAAUAAGGCCGCA